RNAcentral lists this non-coding RNA (53 nucleotides) under Trypanosoma lewisi. Lineage: Eukaryota; Euglenozoa; Kinetoplastea; Trypanosomatida; Trypanosomatidae. The record is from RNAcentral.
AUAUAUUAAAAUUACAACAGAAGGUGCGUGUAAAUAGAUUUGUAUAUGGAUUU